UGAGAUAGAGGACGCGUCACGUCAAAAGUAACCAUCCCGCUAAACAGUGCAGUGCAGGGUGAAGCGAAAGGGACUGACGCCGAAGUGAGGCAGGGCUGCAUCCCGGGCCGAUCUGGGCGGACGCAAUAAGAUGCGUACGACUGUCGCGAAUACGCGGAGAGCUAUC
This 166-nucleotide non-coding RNA is filed under the name bovine gut metagenome. RNAcentral's name for it is "Lysine riboswitch". It matches the Rfam family "Lysine riboswitch aptamer". From Rfam's summary of the family: Riboswitches are metabolite binding domains within certain messenger RNAs that serve as precision sensors for their corresponding targets. Allosteric rearrangement of mRNA structure is mediated by ligand binding, and this results in modulation of gene expression. The record is from RNAcentral.